This 480-nucleotide ribosomal RNA is filed under the name uncultured bacterium. RNAcentral's name for it is "bacterial SSU rRNA". It matches the Rfam family "Bacterial small subunit ribosomal RNA", at positions 30 to 506 of the family's 1533-position model. The record is from RNAcentral.
UUGAACGCUGGCGGCAUGCCUUACACAUGCAAGUCGAACGGUAACAGGUCUUCGGAUGCUGACGAGUGGCGAACGGGUGAGUAAUACAUCGGAACGUGCCCGAUCGUGGGGGAUAACGAAGCGAAAGCUUUGCUAAUACCGCAUAAGAUCUACGGAUGAAAGCAGGGGACCGCGAGGCCUUGCGCGAACGGAGCGGCCGAUGGCAGAUUAGGUAGUUGGUGGGAUAAAAGCUUACCAAGCCGACGAUCUGUAGCUGGUCUGAGAGGACGACCAGCCACACUGGGACUGAGACACGGCCCAGACUCCUACGGGAGGCAGCAGUGGGGAAUUUUGGACAAUGGGCGAAAGCCUGAUCCAGCCAUGCCGCGUGCAGGAUGAAGGCCUUCGGGUUGUAAACUGCUUUUGUACGGAACGAAAAGACUCUGGUUAAUACCUGGGGUCCAUGACGGUACCGUAAGAAUAAGCACCGGCUAACUACGU